UUUCCNGCUCAGAUUGAACGCUGGCGGCAGGCUUAACACAUGCAAGUCGAACGGUAGCAGGAGAAAGCUUGCUUUCUUGCUGACGAGUGGCGGACGGGUGAGUAAUGCUUGGGAAUCUGGCUUAUGGAGGGGGAUAACGACGGGAAACUGUCGCUAAUACCGCGUAUUAUCGGAAGAUGAAAGUGCGGGACUGAGAGGCCGCAUGCCAUAGGAUGAGCCCAAGUGGGAUUAGGUAGUUGGUGGGGUAAAUGCCUACCAAGCCUGCGAUCUCUAGCUGGUCUGAGAGGAUGACCAGCCACACUGGAACUGAGACACGGUCCAGACUCCUACGGGAGGCAGCAGUGGGGAAUAUUGCGCAAUGGGGGGAACCCUGACGCAGCCAUGCCGCGUGAAUGAAGAAGGCCUUCGGGUUGUAAAGUUCUUUCGGUAUUGAGGAAGGUUGAUGUGUUAAUAGCACAUCAAAUUGACGUUAAAUACAGAAGAAGCACCGGCUAACUCCGUGCCAGCAGCCGCGGUAAUACGGAGGGUGCGAGCGUUAAUCGGAAUAACUGGGCGUAAAGGGCACGCAGGCGGUUAUUUAAGUGAGGUGUGAAAGCCCUGGGCUUAACCUAGGAAUUGCAUUUCAGACUGGGUAACUAGAGUACUUUAGGGAGGGGUAGAAUUCCACGUGUAGCGGUGAAAUGCGUAGAGAUGUGGAGGAAUACCGAAGGCGAAGGCAGCCCCUUGGGAAUGUACUACG
This 739-nucleotide ribosomal RNA is filed under the name Haemophilus influenzae. RNAcentral describes it as "bacterial SSU rRNA". It matches the Rfam family "Bacterial small subunit ribosomal RNA", at positions 16 to 745 of the family's 1533-position model. Lineage: Bacteria; Pseudomonadati; Pseudomonadota; Gammaproteobacteria; Pasteurellales; Pasteurellaceae. The record is from RNAcentral.